UAUUGGUCCCCACGCAACGAUAAACCGUGAACCUGGUCAGGCCUGGAAGGGAGCAGCCACAGCGGUGGAUUCGUGUGCCGCGGUGCGGCUGAUAGGG
This 97-nucleotide signal recognition particle RNA is filed under the name Oceanospirillaceae bacterium. Its description in RNAcentral is "signal recognition particle sRNA small type". It matches the Rfam family "Bacterial small signal recognition particle RNA". From Rfam's summary of the family: The signal recognition particle (SRP) is a universally conserved ribonucleoprotein involved in the co-translational targeting of proteins to membranes. Lineage: Bacteria; Pseudomonadati; Pseudomonadota; Gammaproteobacteria; Oceanospirillales; Oceanospirillaceae. The record is from RNAcentral.